CAGCUCAGCAAAAAGCAGGGAUUCCUGCCAACGUGUCAGUCCCACCGGGGCCAUGAGAUCUUACCUUAGUGCAGAGCCGUCCGUGAGCACCAAAGCAGGAACUUCCCCUCUCUUUCCCGAAAUCAACACCCCACUGUUUGCACCUCUCAGCUUGUGGGAUCUUGGUUCCCUUACCAAGGAUUGAACCCUUGACCCCUGCGGUGGAAGCGCAGACUCUUAAUCACUGGACCACCAGGGAAGUCCCGAAAGAUGAUUUCUUAGAAGGAAAUUGGAGUGCUGCUCUCAAAAGAGGGGUGCAGUUGAUCCCAGCAGCCAAACACACUGCAAAUGUCCCUCACAGUUUGCUGAGACUUUGUAAUGAUCUCUAUAUUCUGAUGACUUCUAAAAAGAUCAACAAAACUAAAUUAAAUCUAGUUUAUGUAACUGUGAGUUUUUCUGUAAUAAACAUAGCUAAUCUUCA
Molecule: long non-coding RNA, 460 nt
Organism: Bubalus bubalis (water buffalo)
Lineage: Eukaryota; Metazoa; Chordata; Mammalia; Artiodactyla; Bovidae
Exons: 2
Source: RefSeq, a predicted model, not a curated record